AUACGGAGGGUGCAAGCGUUACUCGGAAUCACUGGGCGUAAAGCGCGCGCAGGCGGUCUUUUAAGUUGGAUGUGAAAGCCUACGGCUCAACCGUAGAACUGCAUCCAAAACUAUUAGACUAGAGUGUGGGAGAGGAAGAUGGAAUUAGUUGUGUAGGGGUAAAAUCCGUAGAGAUAACUAGGAAUACCAAAAGCGAAGGCGAUCUUCUGGAACACUACUGACGCUGAGGCGCGAAAGCGUGGGGAGCAAACAGGAUUAGAAACCCCAGUAGUCC
RNAcentral lists this ribosomal RNA (274 nucleotides) under uncultured bacterium. RNAcentral describes it as "partial 16S ribosomal RNA". It matches the Rfam family "Bacterial small subunit ribosomal RNA", at positions 523 to 796 of the family's 1533-position model. The record is from RNAcentral.